Molecule: ribosomal RNA, 397 nt
Filed under: uncultured bacterium
Lineage: Bacteria
Description: partial 16S ribosomal RNA
Rfam family: Bacterial small subunit ribosomal RNA
Source: RNAcentral
AUACGUAGGGGGCGAGCGUUGUCCGGAAUGAUUGGGCGUAAAGGGCGCGUAGGCGGCGCGGUAAGUCUGGAGUGAAAGUCCUGCUUUCAAGGUGGGAAUUGCUUUGGAUACUGCCGCGCUUGAGUGCAGGAGAGGUUAUCGGAAUUCCCGGUGUAGCGGUGAAAUGCGUAGAGAUCGGGAGGAACACCAGUGGCGAAGGCGGGUAACUGGACUGCAACUGACGCUGAGGCGCGAAAGUGUGGGUAGCAAACAGGAUUAGAUACCCUGGUAGUCCACACUGUAAACGAUGAAUGCUAGGUGUAAGAGGUAUCGACCCCUUUUGUGCCGGAGUCAACACAAUAAGCAUUCCGCCUGGGGAGUACGGCCGCAAGGUUGAAACUCAAAUGAAUUGACGGGG